AGGCCUCCUCAGCAAGUGCCACAGCUUGAUCAGCUCACAAAGCUGCCUGCAACAUUGAAUCCAUUGGGCUCUGUUAUACAGCCACAGCAACAGUUGAAUGAUAUUGCUCAGCAACCGAGGCAAAAUUUGAUGAAUCAAACUCUACCCUCAAGCCAGGUUCAGGCUCAACUUCUGCAGCAGCCUCAAGCUCUGGUCCAAAACCACAAUAUUCUUCAGCAGCAACCAUCUGUUCAAAAUCAGCAGCUCCACAGAAACCUCCCUCAGAACCUGCAACAGCAGCAGCAACC
Molecule: long non-coding RNA, 287 nt
Filed under: Vitis vinifera (wine grape)
Lineage: Eukaryota; Viridiplantae; Streptophyta; Magnoliopsida; Vitales; Vitaceae
Description: long non-coding RNA (VVIN_LNC003532)
Source: RNAcentral